Molecule: transfer RNA, 88 nt
Filed under: Deltaproteobacteria bacterium
Lineage: Bacteria; Pseudomonadati; Myxococcota; Myxococcia
Also listed under: 1 other name
Description: tRNA-Lys
Rfam family: tRNA
About the family: Transfer RNA (tRNA) molecules are approximately 80 nucleotides in length. Their secondary structure includes four short double-helical elements and three loops (D, anti-codon, and T loops). Further hydrogen bonds mediate the characteristic L-shaped molecular structure. tRNAs have two regions of fundamental functional importance: the anti-codon, which is responsible for specific mRNA codon recognition, and the 3' end, to which the tRNAs corresponding amino acid is attached (by aminoacyl-tRNA synthetases). tRNAs cope with the degeneracy of the genetic code in two manners: having more than one tRNA (with a specific anti-codon) for a particular amino acid; and 'wobble' base-pairing, i.e. permitting non-standard base-pairing at the 3rd anti-codon position.
Source: RNAcentral
GCUGUUAGCUCAGUUGGUAGAGCAGCGGACUUUUAAUCCGCAGCAAGAGGCUCCCGUAGCAGGUUUAUUCAAUCCUUUCGCGGCAGCG